GCCGGCGUGGUGGAAUGGUAGACACGAUAGACUCAAAAUCUAUUGCGGGCGACCGUGUAUGAGUUCAAGUCUCAUCGCCGGUA
This 83-nucleotide transfer RNA is filed under the name Treponema sp. RNAcentral describes it as "tRNA-Leu". It matches the Rfam family "tRNA". From Rfam's summary of the family: Transfer RNA (tRNA) molecules are approximately 80 nucleotides in length. Their secondary structure includes four short double-helical elements and three loops (D, anti-codon, and T loops). Further hydrogen bonds mediate the characteristic L-shaped molecular structure. tRNAs have two regions of fundamental functional importance: the anti-codon, which is responsible for specific mRNA codon recognition, and the 3' end, to which the tRNAs corresponding amino acid is attached (by aminoacyl-tRNA synthetases). tRNAs cope with the degeneracy of the genetic code in two manners: having more than one tRNA (with a specific anti-codon) for a particular amino acid; and 'wobble' base-pairing, i.e. permitting non-standard base-pairing at the 3rd anti-codon position. RNAcentral also lists the same sequence under 2 other names. Lineage: Bacteria; Pseudomonadati; Spirochaetota; Spirochaetia; Treponematales; Treponemataceae. The record is from RNAcentral.